AUUGCCCUAGUAACGGCGAGUGAAGCGGCAACAGCUCAAAUUUGAAAUCUGGCCCCUUCGGGGUCCGAGUUGUAAUUUGCAGAGGGUGCUUUGGCGUUGGCAGCGGUCUAAGUUCCUUGGAACAGGACAUCGCAGAGGGUGAGAAUCCCGUAUGUGGUCGCAUGCCUCCGCCGUGUAAAGCCCCUUCGACGAGUCGAGUUGUUUGGGAAUGCAGCUCUAAAUGGGAGGUAAAUUUCUUCUAAAGCUAAAUACCGGCCAGAGACCGAUAGCGCACAAGUAGAGUGAUCGAAAGAUGAAAAGCACUUUGGAAAGAGAGUCAAACAGCACGUGAAAUUGUUGAAAGGGAAGCGCUUGCAGCCAGACUUGCCUGUAGUUGCUCACCCGGGCUCCUGCCCGGGGCACUCUUCUGCAGGCAGGCCAGCAUCAGUUUGGGCGGUCGGAUAAAGGGCUCUGACACGUACUUCCCCUCGGGGUUGACAUACAGGGGAGCCGCAAUGCGAUCAGCCCGGACUGAGGUCCGCGCAUCUGCUAGGAUGCUGGCGUAAUGGCUGUAAGCGGCCCGUCUUGAAACACGGACCAAGGAGUCUAACAUCUAUGCGAGUGUUUGGGUGUCAAGCCCGAGCGCGUAAUGAAAGUGAACGGAGGUGGGAACCCCUUUCGGGGUGCACCAUCGACCGAUCCUGAUGUCUUCGGAUGGAUUUGAGUAAGAGCAUAGCUGUUGGGACCCGAAAGAUGGUGAACUAUGCUUGAAUAGGGUGAAGCCAGAGGAAACUCUGGUGGAGGCUCGCAGCGGUUCUGACGUGCAAAUCGAUCGUCAAAUUUGGGCAUAGGGGCGAAAGACUAAU
RNAcentral lists this ribosomal RNA (845 nucleotides) under Periconia igniaria. RNAcentral describes it as "eukaryotic LSU rRNA". It matches the Rfam family "Eukaryotic large subunit ribosomal RNA", at positions 74 to 935 of the family's 3401-position model. The record is from RNAcentral. Lineage: Eukaryota; Fungi; Ascomycota; Dothideomycetes; Pleosporales; Periconiaceae.